Molecule: non-coding RNA, 238 nt
Organism: Oryctolagus cuniculus (rabbit)
Lineage: Eukaryota; Metazoa; Chordata; Mammalia; Lagomorpha; Leporidae
Source: RefSeq, a predicted model, not a curated record
GUGCUGUGAUGGUGAUGGCAGGCACAGUUUCUGCCCUCUCCUGGGAUGCAUCUAGUGGGAGAGACUGAUAAGAGUGGGAACAGGAGAGGGAGCGUGAAGAAGGCUGUGAAAAUGGACAGGAUGGAAGGUCAUUAACAAGAAGCUGAAUAAGAAGUGGAGUAACUAGGACACGAAUCGGCGCCCAUAUGGAAUGCUGGUGUUGCAAGCAGUGGCUGUACCCGCUAUACCACAAUGCUGG